Molecule: long non-coding RNA, 2189 nt
Organism: Osmia lignaria (orchard mason bee)
Lineage: Eukaryota; Metazoa; Arthropoda; Insecta; Hymenoptera; Megachilidae
Source: RefSeq, a predicted model, not a curated record
ACAGCCUCCUUUGUGUACCUCGCAUGGGAGAGUUCCGAGACCAAAGGUCUGACGGGGUAACACAAAGUCGGUAAAUAAAUGUUGAAAUAUUUUAAUGAAACGGUUUAUAAGAUGUAAUUAAAACAAAGAAAUUAUGAAUUUGUAAUGAAAGGUCCCCCUUACGCCCCACACAUGGGAACAGCUCCGCGACCAGAGGUCUGGUAAGGAAAUGCAAGGUGGAUAAUAUUUUUGAAAUUUCCGCCAGGACGUGACAUAAUCUAUUGUAAUCUCAUUGUUUAUUAAAAUUUAUAAUCUUCUUGUUUAUUGAUUCUACAGAAAGAUACUAGUUUGCAAAGUUUUUGACUCAUCAGUUGUUCCUUGAGAGUAAACAAAUUCAUAAAAUGCUGUUGUGUAAGCAAUUUAGUCAAUUGUAUGAAUCAUUCUUGUUAUACUUUGAUACAAAGCAUCUUUGUGGUGCAUUCAGAAAAACUCGGAUCCUCCGUAUUUACCGUGAAUAACGAGAAAACGGUGUACUUUGUGUCUCUGAGCCGCUAAUUAACACAGGGAAAGACGGAAGAGCCACUCAAGCUCGAAUGUACAAGCAAGUUACAUUUAUGCAACGAAAUAAUGAGCCAAGUGCUCGAGUUUCUUUAGUGGAUAUCUUUUGCAUCCAAAACCAAAAAAUUUCUUUCAUAAAUUACUAAGACAGAAUUUUAAAAAAAUCUACAAAAAAUCUUUCUACAAUUAUUAAUUAUUUAUUAUGUUCUAUAGAAAUAUGAAUAAUAAUAUUGAUAGGAUCUUCUUUGAGAAACUAAUGGAUGAAAGUGAAAUCAUUUUGAAGUAACAUGGAAACACGUAGUCCAAUUAAUUCAGGGUCAUUUUGACCCAAUUAUAAAAAUAACAAUCAACCAUCCUCUAAGAAUUAAAUAUGUAUUAACUACUGACCAAUGAAUUAGUAUUUGAAAUUUAAAUGCAAAAAGUUUAAAAUGUCACUCAUACUCACUGUGAAGUGAUGUUGUCAAUCUCUGAGCUGGUACUGUAUACAGUAGAUUGAAUGGGGAAGAGUUUUAUGAGAUAUGUCCCCACUCUGGAUCCAAUUGUAGGUCACAGACGUUUUGAUCACCACAUAGUAGUGAUCAAUCAUGCUAUUUUCAGAGAAUUAAAAGAAACAAGUCAAUUCCUUUCCAUAUUUUAUGUUAAAAUUGCUUUUCUGAAUUACAUAUCAAUUAGAAUAUUGAUUUUCUUCUUAUAGCAGGAGUUGCAUUAGUAAUAAUUAAUUUAGAAUAGCUUUCUGGUUUUAUCCUCCAGCUAUAAUUGCACUUUGCUUUUGUAGAAAAAUAGAAGAAUAAUAAAAAAAUAUGAUUUUUCAUGAAUAUUGUUUAUUAAAAUAUAAAACGUGUGAUAUUUUACAAUAUUAAAUUUGUUAAUUGUCCUAAUAAUACCUUGUUAUCUGAUAAUACCAUGAUGUAAUUCUCUAGACUUUGUACAAUUUUUUUCUUCUGCAACAACUGAUUUAUUUAUGCUCAUUUAAAGAACAUUUUAAGAUGCGGGUACCACACGAUUUCGUUACACCGCUGCUUAUGAUGAGUCAUCUACGUCCAUAAGUGAAUCAAGUUGACGUUCUGAGAAUCGCUACAGUACCACGUACAGUUUUAUUCUAUAUUUUUUGUUCUUCGUAGCGACGUAACUUAAUUUAUACGUUACAAGAUAAAAGAUAACGUCAUACAUACUGCGGAAAAAUAACAGUACAAAUUUGUAAUGUCUAAUGUUAUUAAAUAAAUCCUAGUGAAAGUAUUUUGACGGAGUCGACACCGAGGGAUGUUUUCAAAUGAAAUAUCGUCGUUUAUUUGAUAUAAUAAAAGUACAAAAGAUAUAUUUUAAUAAGCGUGUAAAUUGUUCAGUGAUAUGUACAAAUGGCAGUAACGGUAUAUCCUUAGCUGAAUUUAUAUUAAUACCAAAUAUUCUACCUCUGUUUGAAAAACGCAGCGCUAACGAGAUACUACAAGUAAUAAAAAAAUAAUUUUCCUAUUUGAUAUGUAGUAAGAUGUCUAAAGGCACUUAUGAUCCCACGUUUUGAUUUCCAUUCAUAAAUGAUAAACUAUAAAAAGUAAGUUAAAGUAAAAAUCCUAAGGAGUAUAGUGUAUUGUCAUACUGCCUUAUUCAUAAUUUUGCCCUUUUUUUAUGUAGCAAAUAUAAACCACUGAAGUAUC